CAGCAGCCACGGUAAUACGUAGGGUGCAAGCGUUAAUCAGAAUUACUGGGCGUAAAGCGUGCGCAGGCGGUUUGUUAAGACGGAUGUGAAAUCCCCGGGCUCAACCUGGGAACUGCAUUCGUGACUGGCAAGCUAGAGUAUGGCAGAGGGGGGUGGAAUACCACGUGUAGCAGUGAAAUGCGUAGAGAUGUGGAGGAACACCGAUGGCGAAGGCAGCCCCCUGGGCCAAUACUGACGCUCAUGCACGAAAGCGUGGGGAGCAAACAGGAUUAGAGACCCCUGUAGUCCCUGUCUCUUAUAC
This 301-nucleotide ribosomal RNA is filed under the name uncultured bacterium. RNAcentral's name for it is "partial 16S ribosomal RNA". It matches the Rfam family "Bacterial small subunit ribosomal RNA", at positions 509 to 807 of the family's 1533-position model. The record is from RNAcentral.